RNAcentral lists this ribosomal RNA (521 nucleotides) under uncultured bacterium. Its description in RNAcentral is "bacterial SSU rRNA". It matches the Rfam family "Bacterial small subunit ribosomal RNA", at positions 25 to 518 of the family's 1533-position model. The record is from RNAcentral.
CAGGACGAACGCUGGCGGCGUGCCUAAUACAUGCAAGUCGAACGGUCUUUCUAUGGAAGUUUGCUUCCACUGAGAAGAUAGUGGCGAACGGGUGAGUAACACGUGGGUAACCUGCCCAUAAGAGGGGGAUAACAUCCGGAAACGGGUGCUAAUACCGCAUAGUUUUCUUGAUCGCAUGAUCGGGAAAGGAAAGACGGCCUUUGUGCUGUCGCUUAUGGAUGGACCCGCGGCGUAUUAGUUAGUUGGUGAGGUAAUGGCUCACCAAGACGAUGAUACGUAGCCGACCUGAGAGGGUGAUCGGCCACAUUGGGACUGAGACACGGCCCAAACUCCUACGGGAGGCAGCAGUAGGGAAUCUUCCGCAAUGGACGAAAGUCUGACGGAGCAACGCCGCGUGAGUGAAGAAGGUUUUUCCGGAUCGUAAAACUCUGUUGUCAGAGAAGAACAAGUUGGAGAGUAACUGCUCCAGCCUUGACGGUAUCUGACCAGAAAGCCACGGCUAACUACGUGCCAGCAGCAGC